UUGGAGGGCAAGUCUGGUGCCAGCAGCCGCGGUAAUUCCAGCUCCAAUAGCGUAUAUUAAAGUUGUUGCAGUUAAAAAGCUCGUAGUUGAAUUUCGGGGUUAGUAGAUUGGUCGUGCCUCCGGUAUGUACUGGUCUCACUGAUUCCUCCUUCUUGAAGAACUGUAAUGCCAUUAAUUUGGUGUUAUGGGGAAUCUAGACUGUUACUUUGAAAAAAUUAGAGUGUUUAAAGCAGGCUAACGCUUGAAUACAUUAGCAUGGAAUAAUGAAAUAGGACGGCAUGGUUCUAUUUUGUUGGUUUCUAGGGUUGAUGUAAUGAUUAAUAGGAAUAGUUGGGGGCAUUAGUAUUCAAUUGUCAGAGGUGAAAUUCUUGGAUUUAUUGAAAACUAACUACUGCGAAAGCAUUUGCCAAGGAUGUUUUCAUUAAUCAAGAACAAAAGUUAGGGGAUCGAAAACGAUCAGAUACCAUCGUAAUCUUAACCAUAAACUAUGCCGACUAGGGAUCGGAUGAUGUUAAUUUUUUAAUGACUCAUUCGGCGCCUUACGGGAAAC
This 550-nucleotide ribosomal RNA is filed under the name uncultured Glomus. Its description in RNAcentral is "SSU rRNA". It matches the Rfam family "Eukaryotic small subunit ribosomal RNA", at positions 548 to 1098 of the family's 1831-position model. Lineage: Eukaryota; Fungi; Glomeromycota; Glomeromycetes; Glomerales; Glomeraceae. The record is from RNAcentral.